CUCACCUACCGUACUUCCUUAUAAGGUAUGUCCUCCAUUUGUCUGUCAAUCAAACCGGGAGGCUCCACCAACUCCUUCCUGGAGACAUGCAUCAGAGCGCACAGCUGAGCUUUGAGGUGGCCGGAGCACGGCAGGCGACCUCGACGUACGUCCUGACAAAGUUGGAGAACUUUAAACCGAAGAACUCAACCUCGACCACGCCUAGCUCAACAAACACCAGCUGCAAGACGGAGGCCGCCUUCGAUGAUCUCUGAGGACAACACACUGCGUCACCUUCAGAGCCUUCAUCACUCACAGAGACAGGAUGCUGAAGAACUUAUCAGAUCUAUUAAACCUAUCUUUUCAUUUCAAUUCAUCCAUUCAUUCUCUUCCACUUAGCCUUAUCGGGUCGUGGGGGGAUGGAGCCUAUGCAAGCCACUAUAAACAAGAGACAGGGUAGACCCUGUAUUGCCAGCCUGAUGUAGGGCUAACACAGAGAAACAGACAACCAUUCACACCUAUGGGCAAUUUAGAUUCACCAGGUAACCUUAUCCCACUAAAUGCAUUUCUUUGCACUGUGGGAGGAAGCUGUAGAACCUGGAGAGAAAAUGCAGACUCCAGACUCAGGUUUUCUAUUUUUUACUGCCACUAAAAUCAAAGUUCAUAACAGAAAAUUCUUAUUAAUGAUCUUUCAAAGUAAAUCCCCUCUAAGUGCACAGAGGUUUGAUGGUGGCCACAGAGUGGUGACAGUCUUACUCAGAGGAGAGAGGAAACGGCCAACAGGAAG
Molecule: long non-coding RNA, 766 nt
Organism: Oreochromis niloticus (Nile tilapia)
Lineage: Eukaryota; Metazoa; Chordata; Actinopteri; Cichliformes; Cichlidae
Exons: 3
Source: RefSeq, a predicted model, not a curated record